This is a non-coding RNA of Heterocephalus glaber (naked mole-rat), 2394 nucleotides long. Lineage: Eukaryota; Metazoa; Chordata; Mammalia; Rodentia; Bathyergidae. The record is from RefSeq and is a predicted model, not a curated record.
ACCGGAGGCGGGGGCGCGAGCAGGAAGUGGAGUCUCUGCCUGCCGGCUGGUGGCGAGCGUGCUGCGGCCGCCACUUUCCAACGAGCGGGCGCCGCAGCCGCAGCCGCGGGUGCCCGGGGGGAUGGAGGGCCCGGGGCUAGGCUCGCAGUGCAGGAAUCACAGUCAUGGCCCCCACCCUCCCGGAUGUGGUCGGCAUGGUGUCUGUGCACAUGAAAGCAAAGAGCUUGCCAAGGCAAGAGAAAUUCUUCCUCUUAUAGAGGACUCUAGUAACUGUGACAUUGUCAAAGCCACUCAAUACGGGAUUUUUGAACGAUGUAAAGAGUUGGUAGAGGCAGGAUAUGACGUCAGGCAACCAGACAAAGAAAAUGUGUCACUUCUUCACUGGGCUGCUAUUAACAACAGGCUGGAUCUUGUAAAGUUUUAUAUUUCAAAAGGUGCUGUUAUAGAUCAGUUAGGUGGAGAUUUAAAUUCAACUCCUCUUCACUGGGCCAUACGGCAGGGGCAUUUACCGAUGGUCAUAUUGUUACUCCAGCAUGGUGCGGACCCCACUCUCAUUGAUGGGGAGGGAUUCAGCAGCAUUCACCUGGCGGUAUUAUUUCAGCGUAUGCCUAUUAUAGCAUAUCUCAUCUCAAAGGGGCAGAGUGUGAAUAUGACAGAUGUAAAUGGGCAGACACCUCUCAUGUUAUCUGCUUCCAAAGUAAUUGGACCAGAACCAACUGGAUUUCUUUUAAAGUUUAACCCUUCUCUCAACGUUGGUGAUAAAACACACCAAAACACUCCACUCCACUGGGCAAUUACAUCAGGAAAUGUUAAUGCAGUUGAUAAACUUUUGGAAGCUGGUUCUAGCUUGGAUAUCCGAAAUGUUAAGGGAGAAACACCUCUUGAUAUGGCUCUGCACAACAAAAAUCAGCUCAUUAUUCACAUGCUAAAAACAGAAGCCAAAAUGAGAGCCAACCAAAAGUUCAAACUUUGGAGGUGGCUGCAGAAAUGCGAGCUCUUCCUGCUGCUGAUACUCUCUGUGAUUACCAUGUGGGCUGUUGGAUACAUACUGGACUUCAAUUCAGAUUCUUGGCUCUUAAAAGGAUGUCUUCUAGUAACAUUGCUUUUUCUGACAUCUUUGUUUCCAAGGUUCUUGGUCGGAUAUAAGAACCUUGUAUACAUACCCACAGUCUUUCUACUAAGUUCCAUAUUUUGGAUAUUUAUGACUUGGUUCAUAUUAUAUUUUCCUGAUAUGGCAGGCCCCCCUUUCUAUUUCGUCUUCCUUUUCAGCUUAGUAGCCUUUCUCUACUUCUUCUACAAGACUUGGGCAACUGAUCCUGGCUUCACUAAGACUUCUGAAGAAGAAAGGAAAGUGAAUAUCAUCACCCUUGCAGAAACUGGCUGUCUGGAUUUCAGAACAUUUUGUACAUCAUGUCUUAUAAGAAAGCCAUUAAGGUCAUUCCAUUGCCAUGUGUGCAACGCCUGCGUAGCUCGGUAUGAUCAGCACUGCGUGUGGACUGGACGGUGCGUAGGUUUUGGCAACCAUCACUAUUACAUAUUAUUCUUGUUUUUCCUGUCUGUAGCAUGUGGCUGGAUUAUGUGUGGAUCUUUCAUCUAUUGGUCAAAUCAUUGUGCCACAACAUUCCGAGAAGAUGGAUUAUGGACCUACCUCAGUCAGAUUGUGGCCUGUUCCCCUUGGGUCUUAUAUAUCUUCAUGCUAGCAACUUUUCAUUUCUCAUGGUCAACGUUUUUAUUAAUGAAUCAACUCUUUCAGAUUGCUUUUCUGGGCCUGACCUCCCAUGAGAGAAUCAGCCUGCUGAAGCAGAGCAGGCAGAUGAAACAGACACUGUCCCUCAGGAAGACACCAUACAAGCCUUUGACCACAAAGAUGAGGAGUUUGGACGGGGCCUCUGGACAGAGUCUUGAAAGGCUUGAUUGAGACAUGGACUAUGAAUGUGUCAGGUUUUGGAGGACUAGACAGGCUGCAGUAUGUAAGAUGAACUGGAAGGGACUGAGCCUUGGAUUCAAACAGAACCUGGCAGAUUUCUUUCAGUGUGGCUGCUUUGGCUUGGUGAAGCCCUGCAUGGUAGAUUGGACGUCCCAGUACACCAUGGUCUUUCAUCCAGCCAAAGAGAAGGUUCUUCGCUCCGUAUGAAGAAAAGCACCUCACAACUGUCAUUCUGAUGUGUUUUUUGUUUAUGAUGGUGCCCUGCCAAGGUUUGAAAAGGAAGUGAAGUUUAGAGUUCAUCUAAGCCCAAAGGAAAACAAAGGUGGUUUUAUGGCCAUUUGGUAAAACAGUUCUCAGUAAAGGUAUAUACUCUUUCAGGCUUAGAGAAAUGGACUAUUUCUGAAUACUCUUGGCAAACACGGUAAAAAAAAAAUUUUAAAUAAAAAAAACUUUUAUAUUUUUCACAA